AUGAACGCUGGCGGCGUGCCUAAUACCUGCAAGUCGAGCGAACAGAUGAGGAGCUUGCUCCUCUGACGUUAGCGGCGGACGGGUGAGUAACACGUGGAUAACCUACCUAUAAGACUGGGAUAACUUCGGGAAACCGGAGCUAAUACCGGAUAAUAUAUUGAACCGCAUGGUUCAAUAGUGAAAGACGGUUUUGCUGUCACUUAUAGAUGGAUCCGCGCCGCAUUAGCUAGUUGGUAAGGUAACGGCUUACCAAGGCAACGAUGCGUAGCCGACCUGAGAGGGUGAUCGGCCACACUGGAACUGAGACACGGUCCAGACUCCUACGGGAGGCAGCAGUAGGGAAUCUUCCGCAAUGGGCGAAAGCCUGACGGAGCAACGCCGCGUGAGUGAUGAAGGUCUUCGGAUCGUAAAACUCUGUUAUUAGGGAAGAACAAAUGUGUAAGUAACUAUGCACGUCUUGACGGUACCUAAUCAGAAAGCCACGGCUAACUACGUG
RNAcentral lists this ribosomal RNA (496 nucleotides) under uncultured bacterium. RNAcentral's name for it is "partial 16S ribosomal RNA". It matches the Rfam family "Bacterial small subunit ribosomal RNA", at positions 29 to 507 of the family's 1533-position model. The record is from RNAcentral.